This is a long non-coding RNA of Salvia splendens (bonfire salvia), 2290 nucleotides long. RefSeq lists it as uncharacterized. NCBI's taxonomy places the organism in Eukaryota, Viridiplantae, Streptophyta, Magnoliopsida, Lamiales, Lamiaceae. The transcript is spliced from 3 exons. The record is from RefSeq and is a predicted model, not a curated record.
AUGUACUUUAAAAUGUAUUCUUCCACUAAAAAAGGAAAUGUGUAAUGCCUCAAGUAGAAGAAUUCUUAUAGAGUUAAUUGCUUUCUUGAUAUUGGGUUGAGUGGCCUCAGUAGUCAACAAUCCCAUUAGAUGAAAUUUGACUCCUCUUUCAUUUCUUGUCUGUUUGCUCCCCUGUUUUAUUUGUUUACUCUUCCCAUAUUUCAUUUCAUUUCAUUUUCAAUGAGAGUUUCCCCAUAUUGGCCAUAAAGAGGCCAAAGAUGAUUAAUGUGGUUGAAUACGUACAUCAGCCCCACCUUUUUUUGCGUACUGUACUAUACUGUACUUGUAUUUGAUAUCUUUUCGAAUUGCCAUUUUCCUCGAUAGACAGUCCACCAGAAUUACCAUAACCAUGAUGCCCAUUUUGCUACCUUGUUGAGGAAUGUCAAGCAGCUUAUAUGAGCAAACAGUAGUUGGAAAAUGGUCCAACACUGAACAAGUUCCUUUUGAUGCAGGGCCAGAGGCGUUUGUUCAGGUGCUCUAGUCCAUGAUAUCAUAUGCAAUGCAAGGCGUUUGUGCACCCCACUCAAGUGACCUAAGCUAAAGUUUUUCUUUCAGGUAUUCAAAGCAUUUCAUUUCUUUACAACAAUCAUGCCUUCAUCCCAAUCAGUUUUUGUCUCAAUUCGUAGCUGCCCUUAGCCUUAUUUUACCCUCUCUCUCUCUCUCAAUCAUGCCUUCAUCCCAAUCAAUUUUUGUCUCUAUUCGUAGCUGCCCUUAGCCUUAUUAUCUCUCUCUCCCCUAAUUUUGCGGAGAAUGAAAGUUUUGAACAAAUAAUACUUAUAUAUCAUGCUAUGGCCUAUGGUGUCAGUCAUUCACCAUAUAUAUGGCUCGAGUAUAUUAUUUUAUGGUAGUUUCCUGUGUAUUUUAUUUAUAUUUGCUACCAUAUCGUGGUGUGCAUUUGGGUAGGAAAUACCAAUCUCGUAUUACGUGCGUUAUUUUGUCCAACUUAUAUCUUAAUUCUUUAUAAGCUUUUAUUUAUUGUGUAACUUAUCAGCAUUUGAAUGAGAUGAUAGCCAUUUAAAUUACAGAGAUAAAUUAAAUUCAAGUCGGCCCCAUAUGGUUUGAAACAAAAUAGUACUAAUACUCGCACAGUUUUAAUUUUUCUCAAUUGUUUCAUUUGUGUACAAAAUGAUGUCUUUUGGUGAUACUCGUAUAUGUAUUUUUGUUCUUAAAAAAAAAUAUUGUAUUGUUUUGUAUCUGAAUGUAAUAAUUGAGAAAAUUUGAAAUUUUGUGAUUGAUUUAAACGUCUUUAUGGCUAUGCCUAUGACGAAAUAAAAAUUAUCGUAUGAUAGGUUCGAAAUAGUUUUCAUUUUUGUCGUUUUGUAACCCUUGUCAUAUUCUCAUAAGUUUUUUUUUGUUAUUUUCAUUUUUCAAUAUGAUAGCAACACGAUUAAAUAUAAAAAGUUGAAUUUGAUAAGAAAUAUCAGUCGACAUGUUUCGAUUUUGACAUGAAAGUUGAAAGCCUAGAAGCUAUAGCAAUGUUGGGGCGGCAGCGGCGGCACCAACAAAAUCCCAUUUUCAUAUAACGCAGGCCUAUAGCUGAUUUCUUUCACAAAAUUACAUAACAAGAGUAAUACUUUUGAAUUAUAUGUGAAGGUAAUAUAAAACUUCUAAAAUAUUUCUUAAAAUAUGAGUCAACUUCGUUAACGAAGACGUGUCAUAUAUUGUGGCUGAUCAGAGUCAUACAAAUGUAUUAUUUUUAAAUCAUAUCUUGUCAUUUCUUAGUUUCUUUUUCUAAUUAUAUGUUAGAAAAAAAAGUAAGAAAGGGCAUGAGUUUCCUCCUUUAUUGUAGUAGUAGUAGUAGUAGUAGUAGUAUAGGAGUAUAAUUCAUGUUUCAUGCGAGAAUUCGCUUGGCCAUGUGAUAUUUUAUCUACACGCCAAAUCAAGUUUUUUAGUUGGGUUUUGAGACCUAGUUUAAUUAACUAAGUUGAUGCACCACAAGACUUUUUUUUAUGGGUUCAGUCACAAUUGCAUUAGAAACAAAUAAUUGCCGGUUUGUGUUGCACAUUUAUGUUAAGAUGAGUUUCUACACCUCACAUAUCAAGACAAGAUUCAUAUUUGAUCCAUUUCUUAAUAGUACUGACGUUGUGAUGUUGAACUCACUAUAUCAAUAUUUCUUUGCAGCAGAAAAAUUGCACUCAAUUUCUGUGUGAAUACUAAUCAAGAAUCGAUUAGCAUUCACCCCUACUAUAUAAUAGUGACUUUGACGAUUAUAUAUACACCGAAAUUAAUGCAUGGAAUCUAUUUUCUUUUC